GACGAACGCUGGCGGCGUGCCUAAUACAUGCAAGUCGAGCGGACUUAAAAAGCUUGCUUUUUAAGUUAGCGGCGGACGGGUGAGUAACACGUGGGCAACCUGCCUGUAAGACUGGGAUAACUUCGGGAAACCGGAGCUAAUACCGGAUAAUCCUUUUCUACUCAUGUAGAAAAGCUGAAAGACGGUUUACGCUGUCACUUACAGAUGGGCCCGCGGCGCAUUAGCUAGUUGGUGAGGUAACGGCUCACCAAGGCGACGAUGCGUAGCCGACCUGAGAGGGUGAUCGGCCACACUGGGACUGAGACACGGCCCAGACUCCUACGGGAGGCAGCAGUAGGGAAUCUUCCGAAAUGGACGAAAGUCUGACGGAGCAACGCCGCGUGAGUGAUGAAGGUUUUCGGAUCGUAAAACUCUGUUGUUAGGGAAGAACAAUUACGAGAGUAACUGCUCGUACCUUGACGGUACCUAACCAGAAAGCCAGGGCUAACUACGUG
This 494-nucleotide ribosomal RNA is filed under the name uncultured bacterium. RNAcentral describes it as "partial 16S ribosomal RNA". It matches the Rfam family "Bacterial small subunit ribosomal RNA", at positions 28 to 507 of the family's 1533-position model. The record is from RNAcentral.